UACGUAGGGGGCGAGCGUUGUCCGGAAUUAUUGGGCGUAAAGAGCGUGUAGGCGGUUCGGUAAGUCUGCCGUGAAAACCUGGGGCUCAACCCCAGGCGUGCGGUGGAAACUGUCGAACUAGAGGAUGGUAGAGGGGAGUGGAAUUCCCGGAGUAGCGGUGAAAUGCGCAGAUAUCGGGAGGAACACCAGUAGCGAAGGCGGCUCCCUGGGCCAUUCCUGACGCUGAGACGCGAAAGCGUGGGGAGCAAACAGG
RNAcentral lists this ribosomal RNA (253 nucleotides) under uncultured bacterium. Its description in RNAcentral is "partial 16S ribosomal RNA". It matches the Rfam family "Bacterial small subunit ribosomal RNA", at positions 524 to 776 of the family's 1533-position model. The record is from RNAcentral.